UCCAAAAUAGGAGAGGCGGCAAAAUGUGAAACGCAGAGAAGUCUGCAUUUCCUUUCGCCCUUUCUUUCUCGCACCCACAGUUACACACACAUACACGCACGAACUCCACACAGUACUCAUAGAAGAUCCAUAAGUAACCGUUGCGCACUUGCAAUCACGAAAUCUCUCUCUCAUCCCCUGCAGCUUUUCUGAAUCGCACUUUCAGCUUCUCGUUGUUCGGAAGUUUUCCGAGUGUUGUUGUUGGUUGAAAGUUGCUCUUCAUUCUCUUCUAGUGACAUUUUGGAAAUUCGGAGUUGCAGAAAUCUUAUGGUAUACGAUUUUCUCAGCUUCAAAAAGGUCUUAGUUAUCCGUGAAGACACUGCCACUGAGUCGCAUUCAAGACACUUAUGACAUGCACACGGAAUGUGAUUUCAUAAUCUGGAAGCUUCAGGCAUUAUGCAUUUUUAUUAUGUCAUAACGACAAAUCAAUGAAUACUUCAAUUCUUUACCUGCAUCCUGAGAACUGACAAGGGGAUUGAAAGAACCGCUCAUGGUAAAAUUAGUUUCUGCAUUUUCAGCGGCGGCUGUGGAUCCAGCAGCAUGUGCUAGUGCCAAGAGAUGUCCGAAGGACACAUUGCUCCAUUUGUCUACAUCAUCAGUACUGGAGAAGUUAUUGUACAUUUUAAUAUUGUUGUCUCCAUACAUUUUGGAUUUUGUGCCUGGUGCUGCUUCCCAAGUGUCAAAAUACUCUGUUACUGUUGCUGAAUUUGUCGAACCAGGACAUGCAGGCACGUGUCGACCUUCAGAUUGAUGACAAACUUGGUUUUGCUGGAGUUGUUGGUAACCAUGAAUUGGCAAUCUGAAAAUCUUCUGUUUGUGGAAUUGAGCUUCCUUGUCUUCCGUCCAUGCCGCAGCGUCAGACUGGGAUGAAGGUACUGCCGGAGAUCUCACAGAGGCAGUGGACGGCAAGGAGAAACUGAAACAGAGUAUUCCAUAAAGGGGAGAGAGAAAGUAGGAAAGAAGCCAAAACAGAAAUACCAGUGCUUUUAUUCCGAGACUCAGAUAAAGCUCUUUGAGAAACUGGUAACUUUUUUUCCCGGUAAACUAUUAAAACUCCAUUAUUUUAUUCUAUGUAUUAUUAUUUAAAUAAACCAAUAAAUAUCGUGUAAAGAAAUUUUACUCACACCUGAUAUUUACGUCAAAUUAUAGAGACUAUUUUACAUGA
Nicotiana tabacum (common tobacco) is the source of this 1204-nucleotide long non-coding RNA. RefSeq lists it as uncharacterized. NCBI's taxonomy places the organism in Eukaryota, Viridiplantae, Streptophyta, Magnoliopsida, Solanales, Solanaceae. The record is from RefSeq and is a predicted model, not a curated record.